Molecule: ribosomal RNA, 492 nt
Filed under: uncultured bacterium
Lineage: Bacteria
Description: partial 16S ribosomal RNA
Rfam family: Bacterial small subunit ribosomal RNA
Source: RNAcentral
AGUGAACGCUGGCGGUAGGCCUAACACAUACAAGUCGAACGGCAGCACAGUAAGAGCUUGCUCUUACGGGUGGCGAGUGGCGGACGGGUGAGGAAUACAUCGGAACCUACUUUUUCGUGGGGGAUAACGUAGGGAAACUUACGCUAAUACCGCAUACGACCUACGGGUGAAAGCAGGGGAUCUUCGGACCUUGCGCGACUGAAUGAGCCGAUGUCGGAUUAGCUAGUUGGCGGGGUAAAGGCCCACCAAGGCGACGAUCCGUAGCUGGUCUGAGAGGAUGAUCAGCCACACUGGAACUGAGACACGGUCCAGACUCCUACGGGAGGCAGCAGUGGGGAAUAUUGGACAAUGGGCGCAAGCCUGAUCCAGCCAUACCGCGUGGGUGAAGAAGGCCUUCGGGUUGUAAAGCCCUUUUGUUGGGAAAGAAAAGCAGCAGGUUAAUACCCCGCUGUUCUGACGGUACCCAAAGAAUAAGCACCGGCUAACUUCGUG